UACGUAGGUGGCAAGCGUUGUCCGGAUUUAUUGGGUUUAAAGGGUGCGUAGGCGGUCCUGUAAGUCUGUAGUGAAAUACCCCGGCUUAACCGGGGGGUGCUAUGGAUACUGCAGGACUUGAGUAAAGUUGAGGCAGGCGGAAUUGACGGUGUAGCGGUGAAAUGCAUAGAUAUCGUCAAGAACACCUAUAGCGAAGGCAGCUUGCUAAGCUUUAACUGACGCUGAUGCACGAAAGUGUGGGGAUCAAACAGG
This 252-nucleotide ribosomal RNA is filed under the name uncultured bacterium. RNAcentral's name for it is "partial 16S ribosomal RNA". It matches the Rfam family "Bacterial small subunit ribosomal RNA", at positions 524 to 776 of the family's 1533-position model. The record is from RNAcentral.